GGAGUCGGACAGGUCAUCGCCGCGAUCAUUGAUCGGGGAGGAAAGUCCGGGCUCCGCAGGGCAGGACGCUGGGUAACCCCCAGGGGGAGUGAUCCCCGUCAAGUGCAACAGAAAGCAGACCGCCUCCGGGAAACCGGAGGUAAGGGUGAAACGGUGGGGUAAGAGCCCACCGGCUGUCGCGGUGACGCGGCAGGCCAGGUGAACUCCGUCCGGAGCAAGACCGAAUAGGACAGCGUUUGAGACCGGCCCGGUCGAGCUGUCGGGUUGGUUGCUUGAACCGGCUGGUAACAGCCGGUCUAGAUGAAUGAUGACCACCCCGAAAGGGGAACAGGACCCGGCUUAUGAUCGGCUCCAACU
RNAcentral lists this RNase P RNA (357 nucleotides) under Pseudodesulfovibrio sp. S3. Its description in RNAcentral is "RNase P RNA component class A". It matches the Rfam family "Bacterial RNase P class A". From Rfam's summary of the family: Ribonuclease P (RNase P) is a ubiquitous endoribonuclease, found in archaea, bacteria and eukarya as well as chloroplasts and mitochondria. RNAcentral also lists the same sequence under 1 other name. Lineage: Bacteria; Pseudomonadati; Thermodesulfobacteriota; Desulfovibrionia; Desulfovibrionales; Desulfovibrionaceae. The record is from RNAcentral.